GAGGGAAAGGCGAAAAGAACCCCGGCGAGGGGAGUGAAAAAGAACCUGAAACCGUGUACGUACAAGCAGUGGGAGCACAGGUUUACCUGUGUGACUGCGUACCUUUUGUAUAAUGGGUCAGCGACUUAUAUUCUGUAGCAAGGUUAACCGUAUAGGGGAGCCGCAGGGAAACCGAGUCUUAACCGGGCGUUAAGUUGCAGGGUAUAGACCCGAAACCCGGUGAUCUAGCCAUGGGCAGGUUGAAGGUUGGGUAACACUAACUGGAGGACCGAACCGACUAAUGUUGAAAAAUUAGCGGAUGACCUGUGGCUGGGGGUGAAAGGCCAAUCAAACCGGGAGAUAGCUGGUUCUCCCCGAAAGCUAUUUAGGUAGCGCCUCGUGAAUUCAUCUCCGGGGGUAGAGCACUGUUUCGGCUAGGGGGCCAUCUCGGCUUACCAACCCGAUGCAAACUGCGAAUACCGGAGAAGGUUAUCACGGGAGACACACGGCGGGUGCUA
RNAcentral lists this ribosomal RNA (497 nucleotides) under Salmonella enterica subsp. enterica serovar Kentucky. RNAcentral describes it as "bacterial LSU rRNA". It matches the Rfam family "Bacterial large subunit ribosomal RNA", at positions 505 to 1000 of the family's 2925-position model. Lineage: Bacteria; Pseudomonadati; Pseudomonadota; Gammaproteobacteria; Enterobacterales; Enterobacteriaceae. The record is from RNAcentral.